This 401-nucleotide ribosomal RNA is filed under the name uncultured prokaryote. RNAcentral's name for it is "bacterial SSU rRNA". It matches the Rfam family "Bacterial small subunit ribosomal RNA", at positions 355 to 774 of the family's 1533-position model. The record is from RNAcentral.
UGGGGAAUAUUGCACAAUGGGCGAAAGCCUGAUGCAGCAACGCCGCGUGAGCGAUGAAGGCCUUCGGGUCGUAAAGCUCUGUCCUCAAGGAAGAUAAUGACGGUACUUGAGGAGGAAGCCCCGGCUAACUACGUGCCAGCAGCCGCGGUAAUACGUAGGGGGCUAGCGUUAUCCGGAAUUAUUGGGCGUAAAGGGUGCGUAGGUGGUUUCUUAAGUCAGAGGUGAAAGGCUACGGCUCAACCGUAGUAAGCCUUUGAAACUGGGAAACUUGAGUGCAGGAGAGGAGAGUGGAAUUCCUAGUGUAGCGGUGAAAUGCGUAGAUAUUAGGAGGAAUACCAGUUGCGAAGGGGGCUCACUGGACUGUAACUGACACUGAGGCAAGAAAGCGUGGGGAGCAAACA